GAUGAACGCUGGCGGCGUGCCUAAUACAUGCAAGUCGAGCGAACGGACGAGAAGCUUGCUUCUCUGAUGUUAGCGGCGGACGGGUGAGUAACACGUGGAUAACCUACCUAUAAGACUGGGAUAACUUCGGGAAACCGGAGCUAAUACCGGAUAAUAUUUUGAACCGCAUGGUUCAAAAGUGAAAGACGGUCUUGCUGUCACUUAUAGAUGGAUCCGCGCUGCAUUAGCUAGUUGGUAAGGUAACGGCUUACCAAGGCAACGAUGCAUAGCCGACCUGAGAGGGUGAUCGGCCACACUGGAACUGAGACACGGUCCAGACUCCUACGGGAGGCAGCAGUAGGGAAUCUUCCGCAAUGGGCGAAAGCCUGACGGAGCAACGCCGCGUGAGUGAUGAAGGUCUUCGGAUCGUAAAACUCUGUUAUUAGGGAAGAACAUAUGUGUAAGUAACUGUGCACAUCUUGACGGUACCUAAUCAGAAAGCCACGGCUAACUACGUGCCAGCAGCCGCGGUAAUACGUAGGUGGCAAGCGUUAUCCGGAAUUAUUGGGCGUAAAGCGCGCGUAGGCGGUUUUUUAAGUCUGAUGUGAAAGCCCACGGCUCAACCGUGGAGGGUCAUUGGAAACUGGAAAACUUGAGUGCAGAAGAGGAAAGUGGAAUUCCAUGUGUAGCGGUGAAAUGCGCAGAGAUAUGGAGGAACACCAGUGGCGAAGGCGACUUUCUGGUCUGUAACUGACGCUGAUGUGCGAAAGCGUGGGGAUCAAACAGGAUCAGAUACCCUGGUAGUCCACGCCGUAAACGAUGAGUGCUAAGUGUUAGGGGGUUUCCGCCCCUUAGUGCUGCAGCUAACGCAUUAAGCACUCCGCCUGGGGAGUACGACCGCAAGGUUGAAACUCAAAGGAAUUGACGGGGACCCGCACAAGCGGUGGAGCAUGUGGUUUAAUUCGAAGCAACGCGAAGAACCUUACCAAAUCUUGACAUCCUUUGACAACUCUAGAGAUAGAGCCUUCCCCUUCGGGGGACAAAGUGACAGGUGGUGCAUGGUUGUCGUCAGCUCGUGUCGUGAGAUGUUGGGUUAAGUCCCGCAACGAGCGCAACCCUUAAGCUUAGUUGCCAUCAUUAAGUUGGGCACUCUAAGUUGACUGCCGGUGACAAACCGGAGGAAGGUGGGGAUGACGUCAAAUCAUCAUGCCCCUUAUGAUUUGGGCUACACACGUGCUACAAUGGACAAUACAAAGGGCAGCGAAACCGCGAGGUCAAGCAAAUCCCAUAAAGUUGUUCUCAGUUCGGAUUGUAGUCUGCAACUCGACUACAUGAAGCUGGAAUCGCUAGUAAUCGUAGAUCAGCAUGCUACGGUGAAUACGUUCCCGGGUCU
RNAcentral lists this ribosomal RNA (1372 nucleotides) under uncultured bacterium. RNAcentral describes it as "bacterial SSU rRNA". It matches the Rfam family "Bacterial small subunit ribosomal RNA", at positions 28 to 1381 of the family's 1533-position model. The record is from RNAcentral.